UAAUGCAAGUUGAGCGCUGAGGUUGGUACUUGUACCGACUGGAUGAGCAGCGAACGGGUGAGUAACGCGUGGGGAAUCUGCCUUUGAGCGGGGGACAACAUUUGGAAACGAAUGCUAAUACCGCAUAAAAACUUUAAACACAAGUUUUAAGUUUGAAAGAUGCAAUUGCAUCACUCAAAGAUGAUCCCGCGUUGUAUUAGCUAGUUGGUGAGGUAAAGGCUCACCAAGGCGAUGAUACAUAGCCGACCUGAGAGGGUGAUCGGCCACAUUGGGACUGAGACACGGCCCAAACUCCUACGGGAGGCAGCAGUAGGGAAUCUUCGGCAAUGGACGAAAGUCUGACCGAGCAACGCCGCGUGAGUGAAGAAGGUUUUCGGAUCGUAAAACUCUGUUGGUAGAGAAGAACGUUGGUGAGAGUGGAAAGCUCAUCAAGUGACGGUAACUACCCAGAAAGGGACGGCUAACUACGUGCCAGCAGCCGCGGUAAUACGUAGGUCCCGAGCGUUGUCCGGAUUUAUUGGGCGUAAAGCGAGCGCAGGUGGUUUAUWAAGUUCGKGGKGUAAAAAGGCCAGGUGSCUUCAACCCAUUUGUAUGCCAUUGGAAAACUUGGUAGACUUUGAGUGCCAGGARAGGAAGAKUGGAAUUCCCAUGKGUAGCGGGUGAAAUGGSGUAGAUWUAUGGAGGAACCMCCGGUGGCGAAAGCGGCUUYUCUGGCCUGUAACUGACACUGAGGCUCGAAAGCGUGGGGAGCAAACCAGGAUUASAUACCCUGGGUAGUCCAACKCCGUAAACCRAUURAKUGCUARAUGUAGGGAGCUAUAAGUUCUCUGUAUCGCAGCUAACGCAAUAAGCACUCCGCCUGGGGAGUACGACCGCAAGGUUGAAACUCAAAGGAAUUGACGGGGGCCCGCACAAGCGGUGGAGCAUGUGGUUUAAUUCGAAGCAACGCGAAGAACCUUACCAGGUCUUGACAUACUCGUGCUAUUCCUAGAGAUAGGAAGUUCCUUCGGGACACGGGAUACAGGUGGUGCAUGGUUGUCGUCAGCUCGUGUCGUGAGAUGUUGGGUUAAGUCCCGCAACGAGCGCAACCCCUAUUGUUAGUUGCCAUCAUUAAGUUGGGCACUCUAACGAGACUGCCGGUGAUAAACCGGAGGAAGGUGGGGAUGACGUCAAAUCAUCAUGCCCCUUAUGACCUGGGCUACACACGUGCUACAAUGGAUGGUACAACGAGUCGCGAGACAGUGAUGUUUAGCUAAUCUCUUAAAACCAUUCUCAGUUCGGAUUGUAGGCUGCAACUCGCCUACAUGAAGUCGGAAUCGCUAGUAAUCGCGGAUCAGCACGCCGCGGUGAAUACGUUCCCGGGCCUUGUACACACCGCCCGUCACACCACGGGAGUUGGGAGUACCCGAAGUAGGUUGCCUAACCGCAAGGAGGGCG
RNAcentral lists this ribosomal RNA (1437 nucleotides) under Lactococcus lactis subsp. lactis. Its description in RNAcentral is "bacterial SSU rRNA". It matches the Rfam family "Bacterial small subunit ribosomal RNA". The record is from RNAcentral. Lineage: Bacteria; Bacillati; Bacillota; Bacilli; Lactobacillales; Streptococcaceae.